GACGAACGCUGGCGGCGUGCCUAAUACAUGCAAGUAGAACGCUGAAGCUUGGUGCUUGCACCGAGCGGAUGAGUUGCGAACGGGUGAGUAACGCGUAGGUAACCUGCCUGGUAGCGGGGGAUAACUAUUGGAAACGAUAGCUAAUACCGCAUAAGAGUAGAUGUUGCAUGACAUUUGCUUAAAAGGUGCAAUUGCAUCACUACCAGAUGGACCUGCGUUGUAUUAGCUAGUUGGUGAGGUAACGGCUCACCAAGGCAACGAUACAUAGCCGACCUGAGAGGGUGAUCGGGCAACAUGGGACUGAGGCACGGCCCCGACUCCUACGGGGAGCAGCAGGAGGGAAUCUUCGGCAAUAGACGGAAGUCUGACCGAGCAACGCCGCGGGAGUGAAGAAGGUUGUCGGAUCGUAAAGCUCUGUUGUAAGAGAAGAACGAGUGUGAGAGUGGAAAGUUCACACUGUGACGGUAUCUUACCAGAAAGGGACGGCUAACUACGUG
Molecule: ribosomal RNA, 497 nt
Filed under: uncultured bacterium
Lineage: Bacteria
Description: partial 16S ribosomal RNA
Rfam family: Bacterial small subunit ribosomal RNA
Source: RNAcentral